CAAACUCAACAACUAAGGAAAUAUUUGCAGCAGAAAGCAAAAAUUAAUAUUUAAGAUGAUUGUUUCUUUUCAAGCGACAGACAAAAGGCUACAGAGGCCUAUGAACAGAAAGGGGAUUAAUAGCCGUACCUGCUUCAUUUUUGUUGACUGCCUCUGUGCUCAUGCAAGAAUUGGUGGAUGUGGUGCACACCAAAUACUUCCAGCCAACCUUACAGGAUUUUGUCAGCACUGAGAAUGGUCCCCGACACCUGAAGCAGGAGGGUCGUUCAGAAAAAGCUCCCUGAACUUUGAACCAUAUCUGCAAAGUGAGAUAAACAAGAGCCAUAUAAAUACCACAGCUCUUUUCCCCACACUGUUUCCUUCUGCAGCAGAGCCAGGCAGAGCUGCCAAGAAGGGGGAGGAGGAAAGGGUAAGUGUGCUGGAUUUGCUGUGAAAGAGCUUCAUGACUUAAGAUUUGGCAGAGUGUUUGCUUGUUUCUUUAGCUGAAAAGGCUGACUGUGGAAAUUUCCAUCGGAAACUAAGUUGAAACUUGAAAUAUGAAGUAUAAGACAUGGCUCUCCUGCAGCUCACAGGGCAGACAGCUGUUGCUGGGUGCUGCAUGCCAGUGCUGCAGAAGGCUGCUGUAAAGACAAGAAAGGAUAUCAAAAUGUCGUGAGAGUCUCAUGUGCUCAUAAUAGUUAAAAAGGAAGGCUGCUUUCCUGAUGUGUGGAAAGAAUGGAAAAGGCUGUGUUGGUAUAUAUUGGACCACAGUUUAGUCUUCAAAGUACUUUACCUAGAACAUCGGGAAAGACUGUCAGGGACAGCUGGAUUUCACAAAUGCAGCAACAAAUGACUCUUGUUUUAAAAGGCUUUUAAUCCUUUAGGCUAUGACAAGAUGGAUGGAACAUGUAUAUUUAUCAGAAUUUAUUGUUUCCAAACUAUUUUGGGGUCACUGUCAGACUUAGAUGUAAGUGGUGAAGUUGUUACAGUUCCACAACCUAGGACAUGUUGGGGAGCAGCCUUAUAAUUUUAUAUGUUUAUAAUUUUCAGUAUUUCUUGAUAAUAUGUUUUUAAACCAAAAUUGAGAUGUUAAUGGAAUAAAAUGAAAAGGUAAUUAUAGAAUUUCUUAUAUGCUUUGAUUUUCAUAAACAUUAACUGGACUAAGUAUGGAUAUGAGAUUUUAUAAGAUCUGAGGAUUCCUGAAAUUCAGUUUUCAUUUCUGGAUUUUGCAAAAUUGUUUCUUGUACCUGACUUCUUCAUAGCUUUUUCUCAAUGGGAUCCAGGUACUCCAGACUGACUUGUAAAAAUUUUUAAGUCUUUUUUAUUAUUUUCUGCUGUGUUCUGUAGUACUUGUGGUGUACUGAAAUACGCUGUUGGUGUGUGUACUUUUAAGACAGUGGAAUUACCCUGUAAUCUGGAGUGAACUGGUCUAGAUUCUUCCUGACAUAAACAGGCUUACCACAAUUUAUUUCAAAAAACAAGAAAGAAGGUCACUUGAAAAUCAUUGAAUUGCUAAAAAUUGUUAAAAAGAAAUUACAAAGAGAAAGAUUAGUAGUAUUAAAAAAAUUCCAGUGAUUCUGAAUGUUUACUUUUUAGCUGUUCAAACACAGUAACAAAAAAACACAAAAACCUUCAAGCACCACAAAGAAAAAACACCUGCUUCUAUUAUAGAGGAGCUCUACUGAUAAACCAAAGAAAUUGAGUAAUAAACAAUGUGUUCAAAUUUAUUCUUACAGGGGUUUUUCUUUUCUUUUUCUUUUCUUUUCUUUUCUUUUCUUUUCUUUUCUUUUCU
This 1771-nucleotide long non-coding RNA is filed under the name Taeniopygia guttata (zebra finch). Its description in RNAcentral is "lncRNA (ENSTGUG00000020440.1)". The record is from RNAcentral. Lineage: Eukaryota; Metazoa; Chordata; Aves; Passeriformes; Estrildidae.